GACGAACGCUGGCGGCGUGCCUAAUACAUGCAAGUCGAGCGGUUUUCACCUUCGGGUGAGAGUAGCGGCGGACGGGUGAGUAACACGUAGGUAACCUGCCUAACAGACUGGGAUAACUACCGGAAACGGUAGCUAAGACCGGAUACGAUCCUUUGGGGGCAUCCUUGAAUGAUGAAAAGCGGAGCAAUCUGCUACUGAUAGAUGGACCUGCGGCGCAUUAGCUAGUUGGUGAGGUAGUGGCUCACCAAGGCGACGAUGCGUAGCCGACCUGAGAGGGUGAACGGCCACACUGGGACUGAGACACGGCCCAGACUCCGUACGGGAGGCAGCAGUAGGGAAUCUUCGGCAAUGGACGAAAGUCUGACCGAGCAACGCCGCGUGAGUGAUG
This 388-nucleotide ribosomal RNA is filed under the name uncultured bacterium. RNAcentral describes it as "bacterial SSU rRNA". It matches the Rfam family "Bacterial small subunit ribosomal RNA", at positions 28 to 410 of the family's 1533-position model. The record is from RNAcentral.